RNAcentral lists this ribosomal RNA (1464 nucleotides) under Thermoplasmatales archaeon JdFR-43. RNAcentral describes it as "bacterial SSU rRNA". It matches the Rfam family "Archaeal small subunit ribosomal RNA". The record is from RNAcentral. Lineage: Archaea; Methanobacteriati; Thermoplasmatota; Thermoplasmata; Thermoplasmatales.
ACCGGUUGAUCCUGCCGGAGGCCACUGCUAUGGGAGUCCGACUAAGCCAUGCGAGUCCAGGGGGGCUUUGCCCACCGGCGGACGGCUCAGUAACACGUGGACAACCUACCCUCGGGAGGGGGAUAACCCCGGGAAACUGGGGCUAAACCCCCAUAGGCCAUGGGUGCUGGAAAGCCCUGUGGCCGAAAUUCCGCAAGGAGCCCGAGGAUGGGUCUGCGGCCUAUCAGGUUGUAGUGGGGGUAACGGCCCCACUAGCCUACGACGGGUACGGGCCCUGAGAGGGGGAGCCCGGAGAUGGACUCUGAGACACGAGUCCAGGCCCUACGGGGCGCAGCAGGCGCGAAACCUUCGCAAUGCGGGAAACCGCGACGAGGGGACUCCCAGUGCCUACGCUCAGCGUAGGCUGUUCCCGAGCCUAGAAAGCUCGGGGAGUAAGGGCUGGGUAAGACGGGUGCCAGCCGCCGCGGUAAUACCCGCAGCCCGAGUGGUGGCCACUAUUAUUGGGCCUAAAGCGUCCGUAGCCGGCCCGGUAAAUGCCUGGGUAAAUCGUGAGGCCUAACCUCACGAAUUCCGGGUAGACUGCCGGGCUAGGGACCGGAGGAGGGAGAGGGUACUCCAGGGGUAGGGGUGAAAUCCUGUAAUCCCUGGAGGACCACCGGUGGCGAAGGCGCUCUCCUAGGACGGGUCCGACGGUGAGGGACGAAAGCCAGGGGAGCGAACCGGAUUAGAUACCCGGGUAGUCCUGGCCGUAAACGAUGUGGGCUUGGUAUUGGGAUGGCCAUGAGCUGUCCCAGUGCCGUAGGGAAGCCGUUAAGCCCACCGCCUGGGGAGUACGGUCGCAAGGCUGAAACUUAAAGGAAUUGGCGGGGGAGCACUGCAACGGGAGGAGCGUGCGGUUUAAUUGGAUUCAACGCCGGGAAGCUCACCGGGGGAGACCCCCAGAUGUGGGCCAGGCUGAAGACCUUGCCCGACUAAUAGGGGGAGAGGUGGUGCAUGGCCGCCGUCAGCUCGUACCGUAGGGCGUUCUGUUAAGUCAGGUAACGAGCGAGACCCCCGCCCCUAGUUGCGAUCUGUCCCUCCGGGGGCAGAGCACACUAGGGGGACCGCUGGCGCUAAGCCAGAGGAAGGAGGGGGCAACGGUAGGUCAGUAUGCCCUGAAUCCCCCGGGCUACACGCGCGCUACAAAGGCUGGGACAAUGGGUUGCGACCCCGAAAGGGGGAGCUAAUCCCUAAACCCAGUCGUAGUUCGGACCGAGGGCUGCAACNCGCCCUCGUGAAGGUGGAUUCCGUAGUAAUCGCGCCUCAAAAUGGCGCGGUGAAUAUGCCCCUGCUCCUUGCACACACCGCCCGUCAAGCCAAGCGAGUUGGGUCUGGGUGAGGGUCUGCCGGCUUGGCAGACUCGAACCCAGGCUCAGCGAGCGGGGCUAAGUCGUAACAAGGUAUCCGUAGGGGAACCUGCGGAUG